GGCGGGAUGGCCGAGUGGUUAUGGCGCAGCGCUUGAAUAUCGUGAUUUUUCUCUUCGAGACAUUUUUACCUACUGUUUAUACGCUGUAUCUUCGGAUUCCUGGGUUCGAUCCCCAGUCCCGUCG
Talaromyces stipitatus ATCC 10500 is the source of this 124-nucleotide transfer RNA. It matches the Rfam family "tRNA". From Rfam's summary of the family: Transfer RNA (tRNA) molecules are approximately 80 nucleotides in length. Their secondary structure includes four short double-helical elements and three loops (D, anti-codon, and T loops). The record is from Rfam. NCBI's taxonomy places the organism in Eukaryota, Fungi, Ascomycota, Eurotiomycetes, Eurotiales, Trichocomaceae.